This 515-nucleotide ribosomal RNA is filed under the name uncultured bacterium. Its description in RNAcentral is "bacterial SSU rRNA". It matches the Rfam family "Bacterial small subunit ribosomal RNA", at positions 32 to 518 of the family's 1533-position model. The record is from RNAcentral.
ACGACGCUGGCGGCGUGCCUAAUACAUGCAAGUCGAACGGUCUUUCUAUGGAAGCUUGCUUCCACUGAGAAGAUAGUGGCGAACGGGUGAGUAACACGUGGGUAACCUGCCCAUAAGAGGGGGAUAACAUCCGGAAACGGGUGCUAAUACCGCAUAGUUUUCUUGAUUGCAUGAUUGAGAAAGGAAAGACGGCCUUUGUGCUGUCGCUUAUGGAUGGACCCGCGGCGUAUUAGUUAGUUGGUGAGGUAACGGCUCACCAAGACGAUGAUACGUAGCCGACCUGAGAGGGUGAUCGGCCACAUUGGGACUGAGACACGGCCCAAACUCCUACGGGAGGCAGCAGUAGGGAAUCUUCCGCAAUGGACGAAAGUCUGACGGAGCAACGCCGCGUGAGUGAAGAAGGUUUUUCGGAUCGUAAAACUCUGUUGUCAGAGAAGAACAAGUUGGAGAGUAACUGCUCCAGCCUUGACGGUAUCUGACCAGAAAGCCACGGCUAACUACGUGCCAGCAGCCGC